UGGGGAAUCUUGGACAAUGGGGGCAACCCUGAUCCAGCGAUGCCGCGUGGGUGAAGAAGGCCUUCGGGUUGUAAAGCCCUUUAGGUUGGGAAGAAGUUUUUAUCAUGAAUAAGGGUAGAGAUUGACUGUACCGACAGAAUAAGCACCGGCAAACUCUGUGCCAGCAGCCGCGGUAAUACAGAGGGUGCGAGCGUUAAUCGGAAUUACUGGGCGUAAAGGGCGCGUAGGCGGUUGUAUGUGUGGGAUGUGAAAGCCCCGGGCUUAACCUGGGAAGGGCAUGCCAAACUAUAUAACUGGAGUAUAAGAGAGGGUGGUGGAAUUUCCGGUGUAGCGGUGAAAUGCGUAGAGAUCGGAAGGAACGUCAAUGGCGAAGGCAGCCACCUGGCUUAAUACUGACGCUGAGGCGCGAAAGCGUGGGGAGCAAACAGG
Molecule: ribosomal RNA, 429 nt
Filed under: uncultured bacterium
Lineage: Bacteria
Description: bacterial SSU rRNA
Rfam family: Bacterial small subunit ribosomal RNA
Source: RNAcentral